CCAAGCUGAGAAACAGGACAGCAAGAACUAGAGAUGAGUAUUGUUCACUGGGAGGUGACAUUGCAAAAUCCAGACUAAAGUACACCACACGAGAAUGGCUUUAGUGAACUGCUGAACCAUGUUGCAUACAAAGCACCACAAAGAGCUCCAUGAAGGAGAACUUCCAUGACAGACUGACUGGACCUUGUUC
Long non-coding RNA from Girardinichthys multiradiatus, 190 nucleotides. RefSeq lists it as uncharacterized. The record is from RefSeq and is a predicted model, not a curated record. The transcript is spliced from 3 exons. NCBI's taxonomy places the organism in Eukaryota, Metazoa, Chordata, Actinopteri, Cyprinodontiformes, Goodeidae.